RNAcentral lists this ribosomal RNA (449 nucleotides) under uncultured bacterium. RNAcentral describes it as "partial 16S ribosomal RNA". It matches the Rfam family "Bacterial small subunit ribosomal RNA", at positions 29 to 523 of the family's 1533-position model. The record is from RNAcentral.
AACGAACGCUGGCGGCAGGCUUAACACAUGCAAGUCGAACGCAUCCUUCGGGGUGAGUGGCAGACGGGUGAGUAACGCGUGGGAAUCUACCCAUCUCUGCGGAAUAGCUCCGGGAAACUGGAAUUAAUACCGCAUACGCCCUACGGGGGAAAGAUUUAUCGGGGAUGGAUGAGCCCGCGUUGGAUUAGCUAGUUGGAGGGGUAAAGGCCUACCAAGGCGACGAUCGAUAGCUGGUCUGAGAGGAUAAUCAGCCACAUUGGGACUGAGACACGGCCCAAACUCAUACGGGAGGCAACAGUGGGUAAUAUUGGACAUUGGGCGCAAGCCUGAUCCAGCCAUGCCGCGUGAGUGAUGAAGGCCUUAGGGUUGUAAUGCUCUUUCACCGAUGAAGAUAAUGACGGUAGUCGGAGAAGAAGCCCAGGCUAACUUCGUGCCAGCAGCCGCCGUAA